UAUAAAUUAUCGAGCUAAUGUGGUUGAUGGGCUGUCAAAGCUGGUCCGCUGCUCUUCAUCUUUAGUUGGAGAAGCUCUUGCUGUGCUAGGAGGUGUAAAGUUGGGGAUUUAUAAGGGAGCAAGGGCUACUAUUGUGGAAACAGAUUUUGAGACUGUGUUCAAAGCUAUUCAAGAUCAUUAGGGGUUGAUUCCUUGGGAGAUAAAUUGCCGCGGUUCAUUCCAUCAAAAGCCAUUUACUCUUCUACAUAGCCAUUGAAUGGAGCAUCAAUUCAACAACGCAUUGGUUUAACUGUCCCAGGCCCAAACAUUCUGAUAAUGUGCUUCUGUUUGCAUAUCCGUAAGAAUGAAAGCAGAUCACGUCUGAACCAUUAUAGCUGAUAAACUAGUUGCUUUUCUAGAGGAGUUUUGAACUCGGAUUGGUGUACCCAUCAAGGCAUUACGCACAGCCACAGGCCACGGGCAAACACUUGAAGCCCAAGAAGCCUUCUUUAUAAUAAGAAAGUGAAGGCCUAAUUCACCCAUCAGCCAUGCCAAUAUGUUUUCAAAGGAAGGCCUAAUGGGUUAGUAGUAGUACUGUAGGCUAAUGAGAAAGUCAUAUAGAUGAAAAUUUAUUUAGCCAUAAAAUCAAAUAAGAUUGAGA
This 640-nucleotide unclassified non-coding RNA is filed under the name Hevea brasiliensis (rubber tree). The record is from RNAcentral. Lineage: Eukaryota; Viridiplantae; Streptophyta; Magnoliopsida; Malpighiales; Euphorbiaceae.